GUCUCGGAUAGCUUAACUGGAGAGCCCUUGGCGCGUAACCGAGAGAUCUGGGUUCGAUUCCCAGUCUGGGCU
Molecule: transfer RNA, 72 nt
Filed under: Cotesia glomerata
Lineage: Eukaryota; Metazoa; Arthropoda; Insecta; Hymenoptera; Braconidae
Description: tRNA-Thr
Rfam family: tRNA
About the family: Transfer RNA (tRNA) molecules are approximately 80 nucleotides in length.
Source: RNAcentral